AGUGAACGCUGGCGGUAGGCCUAACACAUGCAAGUCGAACGGCAGCACAGUAAGAGCUUGCUCUUACGGGUGGCGAGUGGCGGACGGGUGAGGAAUACAUCGGAAUCUACUUUUUCGUGGGGGAUAACGUAGGGAAACUUACGCUAAUACCGCAUACGACCUACGGGUGAAAGCAGGGGAUCUUCGGACCUUGCGCGAUUGAAUGAGCCGAUGUCGGAUUAGCUAGUUGGCGGGGUAAAGGCCCACCAAGGCGACGAUCCGUAGCUGGUCUGAGAGGAUGAUCAGCCACACUGGAACUAGGACACGGUCCAGACUCCUACGGGAGGCAGCAGUGGGGAAUAUUGGACGAUGGGCGCAAGCCUGAUCCAGCCAUACCGCGUGGGUGAAGAAGGCCUUCGGGUUGUAAAGCCCUUUUGUUGGGAAAGAAAAGCAGCAGGUUAAUACCCCGCUGUUCUGACGGUACCCAAAGAAUAAGCACCGGCUAACUUCGUG
Molecule: ribosomal RNA, 492 nt
Filed under: uncultured bacterium
Lineage: Bacteria
Description: partial 16S ribosomal RNA
Rfam family: Bacterial small subunit ribosomal RNA
Source: RNAcentral